UCCGUAGGGCGCAAGCGUUGUCCGGAAUUAUUGGGCGUAAAGAGCUCGUAGGCGGUUUGUCGCGUCUGCUGUGAAAUCCCGAGGCUCAACCUCGGGCUUGCAGUGGGUACGGGCAGACUAGAGUGCGGUAGGGGAGACUGGAAUUCCUGGUGUAGCGGUGGAAUGCGCAGAUAUCAGGAGGAACACCGGUGGCGAAGGCGGGUCUCUGGGCAGUAACUGACGCUGAGGAGCGAAAGCGUGGGGAGCGAUCAGG
Molecule: ribosomal RNA, 253 nt
Filed under: uncultured bacterium
Lineage: Bacteria
Description: partial 16S ribosomal RNA
Rfam family: Bacterial small subunit ribosomal RNA
Source: RNAcentral